ACACAGAGGGUGCAAGCGUUAAUCGGAAUUACUGGGCGUAAAGGGCGCGCAGGCGGUUUGGUAAGUCAGAUGCGAAAGCCCACGGCUCAACCGUGGAAGUGCAUUUGAAACUGCCAGACUUGAGUACCAGAGGGGAAAGUGGAAUUCCCGGUGUAGAGGUGAAAUUCGUAGAUAUCGGGAGGAAUACCGGUGGCGAAGGCGACUUUCUGGCUGGAUACUGACGCUGAGGCGCGAAAGCGUGGGGAGCAAACAGGAUUAGAAACCCCAGUAGUCC
This 274-nucleotide ribosomal RNA is filed under the name uncultured bacterium. Its description in RNAcentral is "partial 16S ribosomal RNA". It matches the Rfam family "Bacterial small subunit ribosomal RNA", at positions 523 to 796 of the family's 1533-position model. The record is from RNAcentral.